Long non-coding RNA from Indicator indicator, 467 nucleotides. RefSeq lists it as uncharacterized. The record is from RefSeq and is a predicted model, not a curated record. The transcript has 4 exons. NCBI's taxonomy places the organism in Eukaryota, Metazoa, Chordata, Aves, Piciformes, Indicatoridae.
GAGUUGAUGUGCAAAGGAUGUGGGGUCUUGAGAAAUGAGAGAAGAGGCUGUGUAGCGUGGCAGACCCAGGAGGCUUCUCCAAGACCUGAGCUGCUUUUAAGAACAAGACUGAGGUUGAGAACUUGUCUUCAGAUGCUGAAGAUCUUGGUUGGAGAUGUAGAAGCUCUGUCAAACCUGGCUGCAGCAACAGGAAUGGUGGCAGCUUCUGAAGAUCUGUAGAUGGUGGACAAAGCCUACUGCAGCCAGUCCAAGUGCCUGUGAUGCUGCUUGAUGUUUCCUUCAACCUCUGUACCCUCAUGUCUCUUUCAAAACCUUUUUAUGUGUCCCUGUCAGAGACAUGAGCUGUCCCCUCACCCUUCUCCCAGUCACCUCAGCUCAGACACUUUACACAGCCAUAUUCUAAAGGGUUGCUGUAAAGAAAACUGGUACUGAAAGAUGGUUAAGAAAGUUUAAAACCCCAACCUAAA